This 62-nucleotide microRNA precursor is filed under the name Nomascus leucogenys (northern white-cheeked gibbon). Its description in RNAcentral is "microRNA nle-mir-2467 precursor". The record is from miRBase by way of RNAcentral. Lineage: Eukaryota; Metazoa; Chordata; Mammalia; Primates; Hylobatidae.
UGAGGCUCUGUUAGCCUUGGCUCUGGGUCCAGCUGCUUAGAGCAGAGGCAGAGAGGCUCAGG